UGAGCAAUCUGCCCUUCUCUUUGGAAUAAGCGUUGGAAACGACGUCUAAUGCCGAAUACGACCUCCUUUCGCAUGAUCGGAGGUGGAAAGCUCCGGCGGAGAAGGAUGAGCUCGCGGCCUAUCAGCUAGUUGGUGUGGGUAAUGGCCCACCAAGGCGACGACGGGUAGCCGGUCUGAGAGGGUGACCGGCCACACUGGGACUGAGACACGGCCCAGACCUCCGUACGGGAGGNAGCG
RNAcentral lists this ribosomal RNA (237 nucleotides) under uncultured bacterium. Its description in RNAcentral is "partial 16S ribosomal RNA". It matches the Rfam family "Bacterial small subunit ribosomal RNA", at positions 118 to 353 of the family's 1533-position model. The record is from RNAcentral.